Molecule: long non-coding RNA, 652 nt
Filed under: Helianthus annuus (common sunflower)
Lineage: Eukaryota; Viridiplantae; Streptophyta; Magnoliopsida; Asterales; Asteraceae
Description: hypothetical non coding rna
Source: RNAcentral
AUGUGUCCCAUCUGGGCAAUCUUUAAUAAGAUAAUUCUGUUGUUAGGUUAUAAAGGGUGUUUAAUGGCGGAAAUUAGGAAAGAUACAAAAUAUAAUAUAAUGAUUAUAAUAAUUGGGUAAAUUUUAUUAUAUGCUUUUUAAUUCGGUGACUGGACUAAAGGGCGUGCGAGAAAAAGAACAAAGAGAAAGUUAAAAAGAUGCAGGUUAAAUGUCGAAGAUCACGUGCUUGGUUUAUUUAUUAAUUAUCAAGUUUAUUACAUUCAAAGUUUAGUAAACUUUUAUUACUAAUUAUAGUAAGUUUAUAUUAUUAAGGUGGUAUUUGUUUUUAAAAAAAAAAAUUUGUUUAGGCUCUUUUGUCUACGUCACGCAGACAUUGCAAUCUGCAUACUGUUUUUUUUUCUGAAUACGUUUUAUUAAAAAACGGUUGUGCGAGCUCUUCUUGGUGUCGACUUGGCCAGCCACUUUUAAGAUCUUCUAAGGUCUGCUGAGGGUUAAACGUCCACCACUGUAACGCUCCGCUUUUUCGUAACUUUCCUUAAUUAGAAAGCUCGUCUUGUAUUUCUUUUUUUGGAAACUUGUGAUUCUUGUUAUCGUAUUUUGUUUCGUACCAAUGUAAAUCCGAGACUUCGAUCAUAAUGAAAUGCUAUUUUUU